Peromyscus californicus insignis is the source of this 2032-nucleotide long non-coding RNA. RefSeq lists it as uncharacterized. NCBI's taxonomy places the organism in Eukaryota, Metazoa, Chordata, Mammalia, Rodentia, Cricetidae. The record is from RefSeq and is a predicted model, not a curated record. The transcript is spliced from 2 exons.
GGUUAAGAACACUAGCUGAUCUUCCAGGGGUCCUGAGUUCAAUUCCCAUCGAUCACAUGGUGGCUCACAACCAUCUCUAAUAAGAUCUGGUGCCCUCUUCUGGUCUGCAGGGAUACAUGCAGGCAGAACACUGUAUACAUAAUAAAUAAAUAAAUCUUUAAAAAAGAAAGAAUAGAACAGAAAAGAAAAUUUGUAAACAUCUUAUUAUCUUGGGGCUGGAGGGAUGUCUCAGCAGUUAAGAGCACUGGCUGCUCUUCCAGAGGACCUGGGUUCAAUUACCAGUACUCACAUGGCAGCUCAUAACCAUUUGUAACUCUAUUCCUGGACCUCUGAUGGUUCCAGGCACACACAUAGUGCACAGACAUACAUGCAGAACAAACACCAAUACAUAUAAAAUAACUUUUCACAAGACCUUAUCAGCUCAUUUUUUCUUAUGGAAUAGGUAGGGCCUGGUAGUUUUCUAUCAAUUCAAAGCACAAGGAUGGCGAGGCUCUGCUGAAGCCAGCUACCCACCUAUGUAGGAAAGGCAGACCAGAGUGGGCUGUGCAGAUGGGGAUUGGGCCUGUUUAUGAGACUGAGCUGAUCAGUUUCAUGCAGCUGCUGGACAUACAGAGGUCUGGGGGUUGACAUGGCUCUGGCUGGAAGUAUUACCAACGCAAAGGGGCCAAAUUUCUGGGACUAAUUCUUCCCUGAAACCAGACCUUGACUAGGGAAUUUUUGAUCACAUGCAUCUUCAGAAAGUGACUUCGGAGCACAGGCUUACAGGAUUAAACUCAAGGCCAUCAGACACGAUGGAAACUCGCUAACAAAACACAGGCACAGGGACAUAGUAGCCUCAAGAUAUGAAAGAAGAUUCUAGAGGCAAGAAAGAGUGCCCACUCUUGAGGAAGAACCUUCACUAUGUUUCUCAGGACUCCACUAAAGCCCUUCCUAGACCCCCCCCCCCACUACAUAUUCUGUGAGAGAUGGCUCCAACACCCAUCUUUGCCCCUCAGCUGGACCUGGACCUGCCUCUACCUUGUCACUUACCACAGUCACCUCCAAGGAAUACCAAAUCUCUCAGUAGCAGGGCCUGAGUUUCAUAAAUAUUUGAGAAAUGGAUAGACUCAUCACGGGGGCUUCUUUUGAGUCUGGCUUAGUCAUUAUCAUGUUAAGCAUCCUCAUGCCCUCCACUGAAACAUUGUCUUGGUGUGUCCAUUUGAUGAAAUGCCAGGGCAGCGGGCCGAGUGUAGAACCUCCAUGUUCUGUGUCAUGAGGAGGAGGGAGAGCUGGAGCCAGGGCGACACCCUCAAACCCAGGGCUUCAUGGCUUCCUUCCACCCUGUUGCUAUUAGCCUACCUGUAGACUUGGUGGGUAAGACCUAUGCCAGCUGAGAAAGGGCCGCUUUAUCUUCCUGCUUGAUGAGACUCAGAAAACAGCUACCCAAGGUAAGCUGGCUAUCAAGCUCAACCUUGAACACAGCGAGCGCUCCCCCACUCUUUCGACAAGCUGACAUGCUGGCCAGCGAGAGCUUGGCUCCUGCUUUCUCACCCUCCUGCAUGGUGAGCAAGGAGGUCUCAGGCUGUCUUAUGUUGCUGCCUCAGUGGGUAUGUGGGCAGAUAACUGUGUUUCUGUGUAAACAUCAUUCAUUUGUCUCUCCUUUCCCCCAAAGGAAGACACAAGUCAACAAGCCGGGAAAACGGGGAAGAGCCCAUGCUUUGCCCCAUUGCCCAACAACACUACUGCCCAGGAACGUGGACAGCUUCCUCCACGAAGAGUAGAUGUAACUGAGUGAUGGAAAGGCAAUGUUUACGUCCGACAUUCCUUGUGGGACCUCCUCCCAGGAAUGCAUGGAGACCUGAGAUCCUACGUCCAGAGGAAAAGUGGAAGGCCUUGGGAAGGCGUCUCCAGCAUUGUUCCUCUGCAAACACAGGAAGAUGGGCUUCCUCCAGCUUUGUGGUGCUCUCAUCUGACCCCUCCCCCAGCCUGGGAGAGGGGGGCCACCGAGGAGUAGGUGGUCAUGGAAAAUAAACACCCACCUCUGCUCUGCUGA